RNAcentral lists this transfer RNA (72 nucleotides) under Ictidomys tridecemlineatus (thirteen-lined ground squirrel). Its description in RNAcentral is "Spermophilus tridecemlineatus (thirteen-lined ground squirrel) tRNA". It matches the Rfam family "tRNA". From Rfam's summary of the family: Transfer RNA (tRNA) molecules are approximately 80 nucleotides in length. Their secondary structure includes four short double-helical elements and three loops (D, anti-codon, and T loops). Lineage: Eukaryota; Metazoa; Chordata; Mammalia; Rodentia; Sciuridae. The record is from Rfam by way of RNAcentral.
GGGGAUGUGGCUCAGUGGUAGAGCAUUUGCCUAGCAUGCAAGAAGCCCUGGGUUAGACCCCCAGCACCACAA